RNAcentral lists this ribosomal RNA (839 nucleotides) under uncultured bacterium. RNAcentral describes it as "bacterial SSU rRNA". It matches the Rfam family "Bacterial small subunit ribosomal RNA", at positions 53 to 883 of the family's 1533-position model. The record is from RNAcentral.
ACAUGCAAGUCGAACGGUAACAUUGGUGCUUGCACCAGAUGACGAGUGGCGGACGGGUGAGUAAUGCAUAGGAAAUUGCCGAUUAGUGGGGGACAACAUGUGGAAACGCAUGCUAAUACCGCAUACGCCCUACGGGGGAAAGAUGGCCUCUUCUUGAAAGCUAUCGCUAAUUGAUGUGCCUAUGUCUGAUUAGCUAGUUGGUGGGGUAAUGGCCCACCAAGGCGACGAUCAGUAGCUGGUCUGAGAGGAUGAUCAGCCACACUGGGACUGAGACACGGCCCAGACUCCUACGGGAGGCAGCAGUGGGGAAUAUUGGACAAUGGGGGCAACCCUGAUCCAGCAAUACCGCGUGUGUGAAGAAGGCCCGAGGGUCGUAAAGCACUUUCAAUAGUGAAGAUUGGUGUAGAUAUUAAUACUAUUUAUACUUGACGUUAACUAUACAAGAAGCACCGGCUAACUCAGUGCCAGCAGCCGCGGUAAUACUGAGGGUGCAAGCGUUAAUCGGAAUUACUGGGCGUAAAGCGCGCGUAGGCGGUAAGUUAAGUUGGAUGUGAAAUCCCUGGGCUCAACCUAGGAACUGCAUUCAAAACUGGCUCACUAGAGUAUGGUAGAGGUAAGUGGAAUUCCAGGUGUAGCGGUGAAAUGCGUAGAUAUCUGGAGGAACAUCAGUGGCGAAGGCGACUUACUGGGCCAAUACUGACGCUGAGGUGCGAAAGCAUGGGUAGCAAACGGGAUUAGAUACCCCGGUAGUCCAUGCCGUAAACGAUGUCAACUAGCCGUUGGGCCCGUUAGGGUUUAGUGGCGCAGCUAACGCAUUAAGUUGACCGCCUGGGGAGUAC